This 495-nucleotide ribosomal RNA is filed under the name uncultured bacterium. RNAcentral's name for it is "partial 16S ribosomal RNA". It matches the Rfam family "Bacterial small subunit ribosomal RNA", at positions 28 to 507 of the family's 1533-position model. The record is from RNAcentral.
GACGAACGCUGGCGGCGUGCCUAAUACAUGCAAGUAGAACGCUGAAGGAGGAGCUUGCUCUUCUGGAUGAGUUGCGAACGGGUGAGUAACGCGUAGGUAACCUGCCUGGUAGCGGGGGAUAACUAUUGGAAACGAUAGCUAAUACCGCAUAACAGUAGAUGUUGCAUGACAUUUACUUAAAAGGUGCAAUUGCAUCACUACCAGAUGGACCUGCGUUGUAUUAGCUAGUUGGUGGGGUAACGGCUCACCAAGGCGACGAUACAUAGCCGACCUGAGAGGGUGAUCGGCCGCACUGGGACUGAGACACGGCCCAGACUCCUACGGGAGGCAGCAGUAGGGAAUCUUCGGCAAUGGACGGAAGUCUGACCGAGCAACGCCGCGUGAGUGAAGAAGGUUUUCGGAUCGUAAAGCUCUGUUGUAAGAGAAGAACGAGUGUGAGAGUGGAAAGUUCACACUGUGACGGUAUCUUACCAGAAAGGGACGGCUAACUACGUG